UUGACGCUGGCGGCAGGCCUAACACAUGCAAGUCGAACGGUAACAGGAAGCAGCUUGCUGCUUCGCUGACGAGUGGCGGACGGGUGAGUAAUGUCUGGGAAGCUGCCUGAUGGAGGGGGAUAACUACUGGAAACGGUAGCUAAUACCGCAUAAUGUCGCAAGACCAAAGAGGGGGACCUUCGGGCCUCUUGCCAUCGGAUGUGCCCAGAUGGGAUUAGCUUGUUGGUGGGGUAACGGCUCACCAAGGCGACGAUCCCUAGCUGGUCUGAGAGGAUGACCAGCCACACUGGAACUGAGACACGGUCCAGACUCCUACGGGAGGCAGCAGUGGGGAAUAUUGCACAAUGGGCGCAAGCCUGAUGCAGCCAUGCCGCGUGUAUGAAGAAGGCCUUCGGGUUGUAAAGUACUUUCAGCGGGGAGGAAGGGAGUAAAGUUAAUACCUUUGCUCAUUGACGUUACCCGCAGAAGAAGCACCGGCUAACUCCGUGCCAGCAGCCGCGGUAAUACGGAGGGUGCAAGCGUUAAUCGGAAUUACUGGGCGUAAAGCGCACGCAGGCGGUUUGUUAAGUCAGAUGUGAAAUCCCCGGGCUCAACCUGGGAACUGCAUCUGAUACUGGCAAGCUUGAGUCUCGUAGAGG
RNAcentral lists this ribosomal RNA (638 nucleotides) under uncultured Escherichia sp. Its description in RNAcentral is "bacterial SSU rRNA". It matches the Rfam family "Bacterial small subunit ribosomal RNA", at positions 30 to 657 of the family's 1533-position model. Lineage: Bacteria; Pseudomonadati; Pseudomonadota; Gammaproteobacteria; Enterobacterales; Enterobacteriaceae. The record is from RNAcentral.